RNAcentral lists this small nuclear RNA (18 nucleotides) under Arabidopsis thaliana (thale cress). RNAcentral's name for it is "snRNA_00323". The record is from RNAcentral. Lineage: Eukaryota; Viridiplantae; Streptophyta; Magnoliopsida; Brassicales; Brassicaceae.
UCACAAGUCUUGCUUCAA